CCCAUAGUUCCGCUCUAGCCUCCUUCGCAGGCAACCGUGUAUUGUUUUGUACUCUGUAUUGUUUUGUAUAACAGGUUUUAUAAAAUUUGAGCAUUUAAAAAAUGCAUUUACAAUACAAAACAAAUAAGAGUUGAAAACCUGUUAUACAAAAUUGAUACAGAGUUGCCUGCGGAAGAGGCAACCUCGUUUCCAGGCUCUUCCCUCUUGUGGAGGGGUAUGGGAAAGUCUCAUAUUACAUGUUUCCACUUCCGCCUUCACUCUUCGAUUGCAAGGAGUGGCCGUUCUGUACAAUCAUCUUUGAGAAUCAUAUACUUCAAAACACUUGCAAAAAUGGUUUCUGUUUGCUUUUAAAUUAUA
Molecule: non-coding RNA, 357 nt
Organism: Paramuricea clavata
Lineage: Eukaryota; Metazoa; Cnidaria; Anthozoa; Malacalcyonacea; Plexauridae
Source: the annotation of a GenBank genome assembly